RNAcentral lists this long non-coding RNA (271 nucleotides) under Manihot esculenta (cassava). RNAcentral's name for it is "long non-coding RNA (MESC_LNC009363)". Lineage: Eukaryota; Viridiplantae; Streptophyta; Magnoliopsida; Malpighiales; Euphorbiaceae. The record is from RNAcentral.
UUUGCAAUCAAGAAUCAAGUGGCCAAUUUGAUCAAAACAACAAAGCAAUCUUGAAAUUAAGCACAAUUGCAUGAAUAUUGAAUAAAUCAAAAUCAAACACUUUAUGUUCAGAUCUCACAACCUUUUAAACAACCUUAGUUUCAACCAAUCCUCAACUAGAAUAAAAGGUUUCAGCCACUCAUGGCUGAACCAAAACAGAAAAUAAAAGAAAAGAAGAAAGAAGAUGAAGAACUAAGGUGGAGAAGGGGCUGCCCUUGCUUGGCCGAAUUUG